This is a long non-coding RNA of Lonchura striata (white-rumped munia), 1708 nucleotides long. RefSeq lists it as uncharacterized. Lineage: Eukaryota; Metazoa; Chordata; Aves; Passeriformes; Estrildidae. The record is from RefSeq and is a predicted model, not a curated record.
GCGGCGAGGGGGAGCUCGGAGCCGCCCGGCGGGGCCCGCGGCCGGCGCUCGGCUGUCCCCCGCGCCUUGGGGCUCGAAGGGAGAAGGCGCCGCUCGCUUCGUGGAGGAGCCCGGCUAGGCGCAGGUAUUGAAGAUGAUUCAGUAGUCUCAACGUGAUCAGCUCACAUCCUGACAGUUAAGGUAAAUAAGGCAUCUAUAGCCUCCAAGUGCUAUACAACAGCUACAGUAGUCAAGGCCUUUUGCCAACCAGGAAGUCCUGAUGAAGCUGGAAUGAGGUUUCCAAAGGACUUUUCACUUUCUUGCUCGUGAUAGCGGGGAACACUGUCUUCGUACCUGGAACGCCGGAAGAACCCGCACUGUGCAGAGACAGAAAAGAACAGUUCAGGUGUAAGUUGCUACCAAAGUACUACAACUGUAGAGGCAGUAAAUUCUUUCUUCACACAAAUAUACGGGUAGGAAAACUGAAAACAGACAUACGUAGGCCAAAAAUGUAGCAUAUUUAGCUGUAAAAAUGUGAGCCAAGAGGCCUGAAUUAGCUGUUCAGCAGCAGUUAAAGAGCAUGCUCCGACUAUCCAUGGUAAUGAAGUACCUUAAAAAGAUUCCCUCCAAUAUUGUUCAUUCAUCUAAUGAGGACAUUUAUUGCUACGCACAGGAAAGUGCUUCUCCUGAAUCAAAGGUAGGUAUGAACUUCAGUGUCUUCCUGUAUGAUGACAUGAUUUACCCUUAAGAACCUACAGAAAGAUUUCCAGAGCAUUCAAAAAAAAGUUACCCCAAGGGUCUUGGUUUUCAAAGCACCAUUUCCACUUCAGUCACCUGAACUAACUACACAUACACUGUCUUAGAAACAUGAGUCUUGCUUGCCAUGGGAAGUUGCCCUGGAUGAAACCUGUAACAGCUUAUUUGUGCUUUGCAGUUUUUUUAUUCAAAGCCACUGUAAAAACUGAUUUUGAAUAUCAAGGCAUGGACUAAAACUGAUUUCCAAAACAAAAGGGAGCUAUGGCCACAAUAUACAAAGAUAAUGACUUGUACACACUCAGCUUUACAUCCUUACGGAUCAUUGACCAUCCUUAUGGAUCAAUAUUCAGGUUCAGAGACCUUGUGCUAUCCAGCUGUCAUUAGAUACUGCUGGGGGUAAGAACAUGUUAAAGCGAGCAAGCUUUUUUCAUAGUAUUUAGGGUGCUGGAUUUUUUGGUUCUGUUUGGUCCAUGGUUUGGGGGGUUUUUAAUAUUAGAACUUAAGAUAGAAUUUUUAAAAAUUACAGUGAGUGAAGACCAAUUCAUUGGCCAUCUCCUAGUUUCAUUAAACACUGUUUUGAAAUAAUUCAUGAAGAAUUCCUCCCCACUCCCUCAUCCCAAGUACACUUAUGGAUACAAUGUACAUGCAUGUAAUAUCUUAAGUGGAAUAAAGGUUGCUGGAAGCAUAAAUCAUCAUGCAUCUUGUAACUUCAGCAAAGUGUGUUCCUAGAGAAGUACAUCUUAGAACUCAAUUAAAACAGAUGUGAGACCUGCAAUAAAUACUUGUUAUGAAAACCCUUCUCCAAUGUAAGCAACAUGUACAGCAUGCACUAAAGGUUAGUAAAGCAAAUUUAUGUUUUGUUGCUGUAGUUUUAUCUUUGCAUCUUUACUGUACAGUGUUGAUUCCGAUCUUGCAAGCUUAAAGACUUAUUUGUAAUGUUAAAGCAUAAAUUAAAAAAAAAUACUGAAGCCUA